AUGUCUUGCUCCAAGCCCUGCCUGUUUGCGCAGCAGCUGCACGGCCGUGCCUCCCAUCACUCCAGCAGUGCAGCCCCCGGGACAGCAAAGCACUCGGCCUCGCAUCCCUGCUGUUUAGACCGAUCCGUCAUGCCGCAAAAGCACCAAGGAGCCAGCAGCUCCCUUUGUGCACUGGACGCUGACGCUCCCCGUGGCACAGUGAGCCGGCGAGCACCAUGCAACGCCGCUGCCUCUUCUCUGCCAUGUGGUGCUGGGCUCCCCCCGGGGCCGCAGGCUGCAAGAGCAAACGGGCUGUCCCUGGUAGUGGAGGACACGUCCCCUGGGACUCCGCACUGGAGGGGGAAAGGCUGUGCUGGCUGGGGAGAGGGCGCUGCAGCAGACGAUGUAGCGGGGUUCACCAUCGCUAUGGGUGCAGUCACCACUAGUGCAGAGGGAUGGGGCCGGGACCUCUGCCUCCUCUGAGCCCCACGUGGCGGGUGUGCAGGGAGUGCAUUCUGUGCAGGGCCGUACCUGCACUCUCCCAGCCAAAGCCGAGGGCCUGGUCUCUGGGCAGGCCCAGACAAGGCCCAAAGGAACAGUCACUGGGAUGGGGGCUGCACAUCCACAUAUACGUGCAUCCAGCAACCCCCGUGCCCAUGUAAGAGGAGGGGCUGGGGCUGCUAGUCCAACCCACGGACUGGCAGAACAUGGGCUGGGCUGUGGUCGGGGUGGGAGGCAAGGCACAGCCGCUUAGUUCGCAGAGCUCCCACCGCCAAUCCCAACGGUGACUUUGCCAGUGGCAGUCCCUACCAUCCCUCGCACCAGAGCUAAGCAGGGCCCCUGACACACACUGCCAGCCCUGCCGGGGAGCCAUGCACAGCCCCAGCCGACACUGCAGCUCUGCAAACCGACCGCCCUCGCUCCAGAGGGGACAGGCCAUGCAGGGAGCCGGGACAAUGCCAGGUGAAAUGACCCAGCCAGGAGCAGCGGGAGGCAUACAGAGCCAGGGGCCCGGGGGGUGGGGAGGAGGAGAUGGAGGGAGAGGUUAACGUGCUUUUCACGCCCCACAGUCACAGUCCAACAGUGAAACGCACGUGGGAGCGAGAGCCGUAGGCUUUGCCAGCACCACAUGGGGGAGAGGAGCCGAGCAUGGUGCCCGUUUUGCUGCCUCUUAAUCUCUGCCAAACGCACAGCACUGCCCAGGCACAACAGGAUCGAAAACAAAGCAAAUUCAAACAGAGCUGCCACACGCACACGCCCCCACCCGCCCCAAAGUCUGCAAGCAGGCAAGGAUAGUGAUAGGGGGGCGGGGGGGGGCUGAUUGCUCACCUCAGCGUUUGGUCUAUAGGCCCAAAAGGAAACAACCCCCUGAUUUCAAGGCUGCUCUCUGCUCCAUUUAGUCUCUUUUCCUUCGGGAAGGCAGAAUUGCACAAUUAUCCUAAGCCUCGAACUAAUAAAAAUAAAAAACAACAGCGACCUCGCCCCUCG
This 1467-nucleotide long non-coding RNA is filed under the name Chrysemys picta bellii (western painted turtle). RNAcentral's name for it is "lncRNA (ENSCPBG00000010482.1)". Lineage: Eukaryota; Metazoa; Chordata; Testudines; Emydidae. The record is from RNAcentral.